Molecule: long non-coding RNA, 1106 nt
Filed under: Macaca mulatta (Rhesus monkey)
Lineage: Eukaryota; Metazoa; Chordata; Mammalia; Primates; Cercopithecidae
Description: lncRNA (ENSMMUG00000062441.1)
Source: RNAcentral
CGGUCUGUCCCCCUCCUGCAUCUGUGUGAUCCCAGGGGUCUGUCCCCCUCCUGCAUCUGUGUGUAAUCCCAGGGGUCUGUCCCCCUCCUGCAUCUGUGUGUAAUCCCAGGGGUCUGUCCCCCUCCUGCAUCUGUGUGAGAUCCCAGGGACCUGUCCCCCUCCUGCAUCUGUGUGAGAUCCCAGGGGUCUGUCCCCGUCCUGCAUCUGUGUGAGAUCCCAGGGGUCUGUCCCCUCCUGCAUCUGUGUGAAUCCCAGGGCUGUCCCCUCCUGCAUCUGUGUGAAUCCCAGGGCUGCCCCCCUGUCCCCCUCCCCUGCAUCUGUGUGAGAUCCCAGGGACCUGUCCCCCUCCUGCAUCUGUGUGAGAUCCCAGGGGUCUGUCCCCUCCUGCAUCUGUGUGAGAUCCCAGGGGUCUGUCCCCUCCUGCAUCUGUGUGAGGUCCUGGGGAGUCUCUCACAAGGGGCACAGAAGGGCCCUGGGCAUUGCCCUCACAGGUCAGGCACGUGCCUGUGGCAUUCCACUCGUCAUAAAAACUCAGCACAAAAGCACCGCCCAGGACCUGUAGCUAGAUCAUUCUGGAAGCUCUUGAUGUUUUGAGUUCUUCUCCUCUGGGGUAGAACACACUUCUUUCAACUUGUCCUAACCUUCUGUCUUUCAGUGCUCAACAAGGACAGGGAGCCCUCCAACACCUGAAGUUGGAGUUCUGGUUUAACGGCGUGGACUCCAUGCUGCUGAGGCAGGGUGGGUGGAGGAGCGAGGCCAUCUUGACACCGUGCCCGGGGGAAGCCCUCACCGAGGUGCAGCACGGGCACCUAGGGAACGCCUUACCAUGGUGUAGCACGGGCCGGCGCCCGGGGAAGCCCUUACCGUGUGUAACACAGGCCAGCACCCCAGGGAAGUCCUCACCGUGUGAACACAGGCCAUCGCCCUGGGAAAGCCCUUACCAUGUGUAGCCCACCAGGCACCCCAGGGAAGCCCUUACCGGGUGUCAUGGGCUGAUGUACCGGGGAAACCCUUACUGUUUAUAUAGCACAGGGCAGCAACCCAGGGCAGCCUUCACUGGGUGUAGCACAGGCCGGCAACUGGGGAAGCCCUUACCAUGUGUAGCA